AGAGAAUGGGCUUCAUCACAAAAGUCCUGGCGCAAGCUGCCUCCUCCCACUAGUACAGCAGUCCUCGGAGACCCUAUCUUGCCAAAGAGAGUGUAGAGAGGCCAUCUAGUUCUAGCUACCUCUGAAGCCUCCUGCACACACUGACCCACUAUCCCAACCUCCCAGUUAUCAUGAUGUCUCUUGUUCUUUGGGUAAUCAGUGGUUUGCUGAAGUAUUCCUUGUUUAAAUUUUGAAUCUUACCUGCGGAUAACCAAAUUUUUCUACAACUUAAGUUCUCCAAAGUCAAAGCUAGCCUGGAUUUGAAAAUGGAAAACACUUCUGUAAAAUGCUUCCAUUGGGGUUUUGGUGGUGACAAAACAGAAAAGGGAGAGAUCAGCACUACUGUAAAGCAGCCUACAACAACACAAAGGAUAAGUUCUCAUUUGCAAAUUACUCAAGACAAAUCCAGAUGGAGGGGCAUCUCUGGAGCCUUGCAAGAAUCACCCAUAUCCUCUACCAACAGCAAGAGACUUCGGGAUUUACAGACAACUUCCAGAAGAGGAAAUGGGAAGGCAGCCAUCAACCUCAAGAGGACAAGGAAAGAAAUACGUUUUCUGGAAAAUCCUAAUGAGGACAUUGAAAAAGUGCACAGUCAAAUGAAGAUCUGCCAGUAGACAAAAGGAAAGGAAAGCUUCAGAAAACUUACUACCAGAUUCCAAACACCUUUUGUUUUCUUAAAUUAAAGACAAGUGAUAAUAUUUUGCACAAGAA
Molecule: long non-coding RNA, 750 nt
Filed under: Phasianus colchicus (ring-necked pheasant)
Lineage: Eukaryota; Metazoa; Chordata; Aves; Galliformes; Phasianidae
Description: lncRNA (ENSPCLG00000010657.1)
Source: RNAcentral